RNAcentral lists this unclassified non-coding RNA (359 nucleotides) under Hevea brasiliensis (rubber tree). Lineage: Eukaryota; Viridiplantae; Streptophyta; Magnoliopsida; Malpighiales; Euphorbiaceae. The record is from RNAcentral.
GGAAAAGAUAAACCGCCUACAGGAUUCAUGUUCGAGAAAGAGCAAAUCAAAGGGUUGUACUUCAAUCAAUCUCCUACCAAGGAUGUAGCUUUGGCAAUGGUUUCAAUGAGACCCUUCCCACUGGGUCCAGUCAUGGAGAAACUCUCACUAUCCCCUGAAAACUAUGGAACCGGGCGGCGAUUCUUCGUUCAAACACUCGAUGAUUAUGCACUCUCACCUGAUGUUCAAGAGAAGUUGGUGAGGGAAAACCCACCUGAAAGAGUUUUCAAGAUAAAAGGCAGUGAUCAUUGCCCAUUUUUCUCUAAGCCACAAUCACUCCACAAGAUCCUCCUGGAAAUUGCUCAAAUACCAUAAACUAG